UAGCGGGGCGUGUGGUAAUGGCUGGCCUCGUCUUUUGGUUCAGCAGAAAUGGCCCGUGGGCUGUUCUCAGGGGCUGCGAGCCUUGGCGGUCGGUAGUGGAAGGUGUGCUCCCUCAGUGAGCUGAAUCCUUCAUGAACCAAGCCUGGAGUUCGUAAUGAUCUAAUAGAUGCGAUGUUGAAGGCUUGAAGACUGCAACUAAGUGGAAAGAAGCUCUUUCUUGCCAACAAGUUCCAGAUGAGGUGGGAUGAAGCCUCAGAAAAAUGUGAAACUUGACAACUGAAAGUACAAGAUAGCUGUGCUGCCCUCAGGAGGCCGUUCACUGUGCAGUGAAUGAAUGACUUGAAAAAGAUGGAAUGAACUUCCUCCAUCAUCCUGUGACAGCAUUGACAAGAACUGCCACUUUCUCAGCCUCCUUCCCUGAGGCUGUCACUUCCAGGUAAUCUUUGUUGGAUGUGCAGUUGUUCUCCAGAGAACUUACGGCAGCUUUUAUAAGGCCAUACAGUGGGGAAAGACUGGAGCUUAUUCUGCUUUGGACUGCUGGAUUCGGAAGAUGAUGGGUGUCAUCUAAAUCUCUCAGCACCUGACUUGCUGUGCCUGCUCAAACUUUCUGAUUUUUGGAAGAGAAAGGGGGUUUCACAGCAACUGUGUAAUCUUUUGUGUCUAACUGCAGGCUGGGUUUUCCCUUAUGUUGUCCUUCUGUACAUUGCAUAAUGUGGUACUUAAUGGAUAAUAGCAGGUAUGCAUAUUGUUGCUUGUAAAUGGCCUUACCAAUGUCACUUGCCUGUACUGGAUGAUCUCUCUAGGGACUUGAGCUACCUCCUCUUAGCAGAUGUGUAUGGUAAGUGGACUGAUGCUGUUCUGUCUUAUGUGAGUAACUGCUGUCUGGGAAACUGUGUAAAUACUAGAAGUGUCUGUUAAAAGCUGAAGAUAUGACCGAGUUUAAAAUAAAUACUGUAUGUUUCCAGACCAUCAGUGAAGUUCCUUAAUGCAUCAAGCCCUGUACUACUGAGACUUGGUUAUGAGCACUCUGAUAUUCUACAGUUUUUGCAGCUUCAAUGUAAAUGCAGUUUUAUGAAGGCCAUGGUUAGAUUCAGUGUCAUGAAAACCAAUGCAGGACCUGAAGAAACCUGAGCCCUGUAGCUGGCACUCUAGUUUGAGUGUUUUCAACCUGCCUCAGUCAUCCAAUUACAACAGAGUAAUUUUUUUUCUGUGAUGCAGUAACUAGACCUGAGGAGGCCCAUUGGAUAAUGGAUGGGGGGGAAAAAGACCAGUCUAAAAGCUGAGCUAAUAUAGCUCUCCUGCAAUUACUGUGGCCUCUUUGCAGUGACUGAACAAAGUCCUUGAUAACAACUGUAAUAAGGUGAAAAGAUGUCUUGCUCUCUAAUAGAGAUUGUCAAACUGACACUUUGACAUUCUAACUUGAAAAGGAAAAGAUGUUUGCAACAGGAAUUCUUCAAAGCUUUUUGAACCAUAUGCUUUCAAGUUUCAUUUGUUGAAAGCAGUUUUUUUUUUAAAAUACCUUCUUUCACUUACUGUGCUGCUAAAUUGUCUCACAGCUGUUUCAUCUAUUUGUUAACCCUCUUUAUGCUCAGUCCAGCAUGUACUUGGGUGGGGGAUGUGCCUCAAGGUUUCUGGAGAAAAACAUCUUGUUCACCUGUAAUUGUCAUUGAUCUAAAGAGAUAGUUAUGUCUGUGUUCACUACUGCUUGUUCCUCCAGUCAGUCUAGGCUUCCAAGCUUUGUUAGUUCUUGGAACAGUCUUAAGUGAGCUAGCUUGGCUUACCUUAUGCAAAACAUCUGGAGACUUGAAUAGAGUUAUUAGGAGCGAGAACAGGGUCCGAUAUGAGCUACAUGACAUGCAAAACGCAGCAUCUUGUUCUCAUCUAUUGAAGUACGAACAGAGCUCAAGUGCUAAGUUCAUGCUGGCCAGACAUGUCACAGCAAAGGUUAGCAAUGGGGCUUGAUCUGCAGUUAAAUCGAGCUCUUGGUCUCUUUCUCUCUAUAUUGAAAGCUCUGGAAUAUUGAUUAGGGUCACUAAAUUCGGUAUAUGUGGCCAUACUUGAAGGAAGAGGUUGAGUGAGGAAGUGUGGGAACUGGGAGCUGAUUCUCUGCUGAUACAUCCUCCUCACAGAGCCUGUGGGCAACCUGGCUCACUGCACUGGCAGGGAAUUCGGCUGCAGUUCCCUGGCAGGUGACCAGGCCCUGCUUGGGGAUAUGGAAUCCAUCUCUCUUGUAAUGUGCUGUUAGAGCAGAUCUGCUGUCAGGUGUCAGUAUGCUUGAAUUUUGGAAGGUAUUCCUGGCUGGCAGAGCAGAGGCAAAAUGCUGUUCAGGCAGUACCCUGUGGCCAGCUGUGGAGCAGCGUGAUUUUUGCCACUGAUGUCUGAGCACUGUGGGCCUGUGUGAGUGCUCUGACACAGCAAUGCAUCCCCCUGUUAGCUGGUCUGAGUCAAAUAAUUAAGCUUUUCCAAGUGCUUUAGCCUCCACCAGACAGGGAAGUGUGUGUAUCUUUCUCCAAUGCCGUAAAUGCAAAAGUAUGCAUAAAGACUAAGAGACUUCUCUUGUUUAUUUUACUAUUUGAACAUGUCAAGACUCAUAAAAAGUUACAAUAUUUAAAUACAAGUCACAAGCACAUAGAUGUAAAAAUAUUUUUAAAUGGCAUUAAAUGAUAUCUUGCAUGUGCUACAAGAGGAAAUGGUGUGAGGAGAAACUGAAUGGAAAUAAUGUUCAGGGACCUGUGGAGAGGUAGUGGGCUGAGCUUUGGGGAUGGGGUUUGUAGCUUGUCUGGAUGCAUGCUAAAACAAGGGAAGUGUGUAAUACUAAAAGGCUUUGCUUUUGUGUUUUUACCUUUCAGCAGAUGACGCAAUGGAGUUGUUCUAUUUGAUAGGCAUGGUGUAUAUUCUUGUGCCACUUGCUAAUAAAACAGUAAAGGGGAAAUGUAAUGCUUGGUGAAAUACUGCUGUAAUUAAGCACUUGUCAAAGUACAUUGUCAAAGCAUGUUGUUAAAGUGAUUUUGAUGUGUUGGAGUAGGUGAGUUCUCAUGCUGUAACUUACCCCACAAAGGGAAAGCCCAUGUUCCAUUUCAAAAUAUUUGCACUAUCUAGUCUUGUGUAACAGAACAUUAACUUUUAUACAAAGUAAAUUAUCUUCAGUAUUAAAUUGUGGAUCCUCGGUACUAUGGUUGUAACUCUCUGGGCACAAAAGUAAGGAUUUCCCUUAUCAUCUGGGUGCUUCAGACAUCCCAUGGGGAGUCUGCACCAUUUCCUUUUCAAAGUCUAUGAAACAGCUUGCUGAGAAGAUUUAAGCUUGAUGCUCUUUCCCCCAUCUUUCCCUCUCCAGAUCAGCAUCUGGUUGAGUGUCACAAUAAAAAUGACUUUGACCAGCUGUUCUGCCCUUUCACCUUUCCCAAAGGAGCCAGACAACUGCUUUUUCAGAAGUGGCCCAGGUAUGCACAUGCUCAUGAGGCUCUGUUUAUCUGUGGGUGAGAGAGAAUUCAUUGUCUGUGCACCAGCAGCUGCUUUGCUUCAGCUGAGACCCACCUCUCCUAUGUUAAGUGCCCUUAAGAUUUUUACAGUUGAUUCAACAUCUAGGUAUGUUGCUGCUGCGAUACUGAAAGUGUGGGGAACAAAUACAGUAUAAGGAAGAUUUCUGCUGCUCUCUGAGAAAUCACACAUUUGUAAAACUGCUGUAUUGGUCACUGCACUAAGCAGUCUCCUCUGUGAACCUGAGACUACAUUAAAUUCAAAGGACUUAUGAAGCUGAGCUUGUGACAGAGGCCGAAGAGGAGACUCCAGGAGUCUGGGAUUCUGCAGGGAGGUGCAAAGAAAUGUGAAAAUGAGUGACAGGAGCCUCGGCAACGGCCCCCCUGCCUGAGGAAGAGAAUGGUCAAGGUGUGCUGCAUGACUAAAGACAGCGCUUGGAAGCAGUCCAGUGUGAUCAGAGUGAGAGCCUUGAACCUUAAUCUUGAUGUAGGAGCAUAAAACUGGGCAGACUGUCAUUAAAAGUAAUGUGUCCUAUGUGCUGUAGAAAUAAGGGGUUGGAGUACAUGUAUAUAUGUAAAAUGCCAUGGAUUUUAGCAGUCAACAAUGAAACAAUAGUUGUAACAAAACUGUAACUAUACCUACCUUGAUUCUCCCAUAGGACAGCAUUGUAUCUUUGCCUGCUUACAUGUGCAAUUGUAGGAUGUGGUCAUUUCAAAGUUACUAAAUAUGUAACCAUGUUUUGUACAUAAAUAUGCUUCGUUGUUUUUCUCUUGUGUACGGUGUAUAUGUCCUGUGGAUGCUUCUGUUUACAAACUGAAUUCAUUUGCCCUCAGUUCCAGGUGGUUUAUGACUUCAGUGCUUUAGAUACUGGCCCUACUGUUGCCAUGAGUGAGAUGAGGUUUCAUUUGCUUUGACUGUAAAGCAUUAUUUAGCUUUCCCCAUUUACCAGUCUUCCAUGCGUGCCUGCGAUGGCCAUAUCCUAGUCUCUUCUGCGUAAGUCCAUGCUGUACUCUUUUUCUCCUUGAAGGCAAGGAAGUCUCUUUCUGUAUCAAUGCAAUGUCUCUUUCCCAAAGGACAGGGGUUUUUCCAAUCCUGUAACAGAAAAGCUUUCUCAUGCUGUUUCUUUAUUGAUACAACAUAAUUGCAUUGCUUUUCGAUUUUAACUGCAACUCUGAUAUUAAAACAAUACUAUGUAGAAGUAUUUUGCUUCCAUUUUCCAUUUACUUAAAUAUACAAACUUAUAUCUACAUCAGACAUGCGGCCUGUGCCAUAGCUGGUGAGUGUUAUGUGGGGCAAGAUGCAAGCUAUUGCUGACACACGUGCUGUGAUUUGCAAGGAGGUUGAUGUUACCCCCACUAAAAAUCCAGAAGGUGGCCAAAGAGAAGGUGGAGGGAGCUCAUGGAGGGGAGUAGGCUUA
Long non-coding RNA from Gymnogyps californianus (California condor), 4894 nucleotides. RefSeq lists it as uncharacterized. The transcript is spliced from 6 exons. The record is from RefSeq and is a predicted model, not a curated record. Lineage: Eukaryota; Metazoa; Chordata; Aves; Accipitriformes; Cathartidae.